RNAcentral lists this ribosomal RNA (1068 nucleotides) under Oenococcus oeni. Its description in RNAcentral is "bacterial LSU rRNA". It matches the Rfam family "Bacterial large subunit ribosomal RNA", at positions 643 to 1724 of the family's 2925-position model. Lineage: Bacteria; Bacillati; Bacillota; Bacilli; Lactobacillales; Lactobacillaceae. The record is from RNAcentral.
AGGUUAAGGUGCAAAGACUGGAGCCGUAGCGAAAGCGAGUCUUAAUAGGGCGAAUCAGUACGUAGUUGUAGACCCGAAACCGAGUGACCUAUCCAUGGUCAGGUUGAAGGUGGGGUAAUACCUACUGGAGGACCGAACAAGUGGGUGUUAAAAAACCCUUUGAUGAACUGUGGAUAGCGGUGAAAUUCCAAUCGAACUCGGAGAUAGCUGGUUCUAUCCGAAAUACAUUUAGGUGUAGCCUUGCAAUUAGCUUACUGGAGGUAGAGCACUAUUUGGUCUAGGGGCCCUUCAAGGGUUACCAAAAUCAGAUAAACUCCGAAUGCCAGCUAAGUAUGUGCAGGAGUCAGACGGUGAGUGAUAAGAUCCAUCGUCAAAAGGGGAACAGCCCAGAUCACCAGUUAAGGUCCCUAAAUAUAUGCUAAGUGGAAAACGUUGUGAAGGUGCAUAGACAACUAGGAGGUUGGCUCAGAAGCAGCCACCCUUUAAAGAGUGCGUAAUAGCUCACUAGUCGAGUGCUCUUGCGCGGAUAAUGUACCGGGGCUAAGCAUAUUACCGAAACUGUGGAUGCGUAAGCAUGGUAGGAUAGCGUAAUUAACGCGAUGAAGGAUGACCGUAAGGACAUGUUGGAGCGUUAACUAGUGAGAAUUCCGGUAUGAGUAGCGAAAGAUAGGUGAGAAUCCUAUCCACCGAAUGAGUAAGGUUUCCCCCGGAAGGCUCGUCCGCGGGGGGUUAGUCGGGACCUAAGGCGAGGCUGAAAAGCGUAGUCGAUGGACAACAGGUUGAUAUUCCUGUACCGAUAUUUAAUUGCCGAAGGAAGGACGCAGAAGGAUAACACAGGCCACUAUUGGAUGUGGUUUUAAACAGUUAGUCUUCAUAAGAGUCAAAUGCUUUUAUGUUUAAGGAUAAGCUGUGAAUGUACCAAGUUUACUUGGAAAUUGUGUGAUUUCACGCUGCUGAAAAAAGUUUCGUAGGAAGAAAAUAUUGCCCGUACCGCAAACCGACACAGGUACUCAAGUGGAGAACACUAAGGUGAGCGAGUGAACUAUUGUUAAGGAACUCUGCAAAAUG